Molecule: long non-coding RNA, 921 nt
Filed under: Homo sapiens (human)
Lineage: Eukaryota; Metazoa; Chordata; Mammalia; Primates; Hominidae
Description: HSALNT0402531
Source: RNAcentral
GGGAUCUGUGUCUCUCGCUGGUGCUGGCACAGGAGCUUGGGAUCUGUCUCCUCUUUCGCCUCCUGCACCUUGAGAGCCCUGGGCUACUCUGUCACAGCCCCUGUUGCCCUGCGAUCUGUAGGUCCUUGGGGACGCAUAGUUAAGGUGCCAGGACAUCCUGGAAGCUGGGAAAUGACCAUGGCUGGAGAAGGAAAGAAGGUGUGUUUUGCCUGAUUCAGGGACUAUAGAGAGAACCAAGUUCUGCAGGCCUGUCAUCUAAGUCUCAGCUGGGUGUCACAAACUCUGAACUGGAUUCCAAGGCUUUCAUGAAUGCACUUAUGUUUGCUGUGGCAGCUGCAUUAUGUCGUGGGGGAUGUGGAUGCAGAACCUCCCAUUCUGUCGUCUUGCUUAUGUUACUCUCCUUUAUGUUUCACUUUCUCAAAUGAAUGUCAAGCAGGUGAUUUUCAGAUUCAAAAGUUCUAAAAUAAAUUGCUCAAAUUUACACAUUAUGUAAGCUGUUAAUAAAAUUUCUUGUAGGUGCUACAUAUUUAUUAAAAUUUUUGGUUGUAAUUUUAAGCUCACUGUAGGCAGAAAGGAAUCAUUAAGAUUUCUAUUCUUUUUUAGUCUGUAUCUAAAUGACCAUAUAUUUUAAUUCCAAAUAUUUACUUUAUACUUCAGUAAUGCUCAUUGUAUUUUGCAAAAUUUAUAUUGUUCUUUUAUUUGAAAAUAUAAGGCUUUUUUUAGCUCCUGAAAUCUAUAUUAUAGUCAUAUAGUUUUAUUAUAGUAUUUGAUAAGAAGAGCAGCAACAUAUUGAGAACAGAAUAAAAUUCUGCUGUCUUUUUAAUGAUUAUUUAUUAAAUUCUUCUCAUUAAAGCCUAUUAUUAAUGAUUGUAAUGUAUUUACUGUAUAAUUUUACUGCAAUUUAUUAAAUGCCAAUGACUU